Molecule: long non-coding RNA, 515 nt
Organism: Equus caballus (horse)
Lineage: Eukaryota; Metazoa; Chordata; Mammalia; Perissodactyla; Equidae
Source: RefSeq, a predicted model, not a curated record
CCUGCUCCGCCCCGCCCCUCCCGCUGCCCGCUGCCCGCUCCCGGCUCGCACCUCCCGGGACCAACAACAGGAAGCCGGGCACGAAGAAGAUGGCGCUGGAGACACCUGCGGGAGGAGGGGAGUGGCCGGAUCUCUUCCGGGGACCGUGACUCCGCAGCCCCAUGGAAUGACUGUGGGAGUCAGAAAACAUCUGGCCAUGAGAGCUGCCUGCCUCGGUUUCCCCUCUGAACAAUGGGGGUAGGAGAGAGGUCCUCAUCAACUCUGACUCUGGAGGAGUGGAAGUGACAGGUGCCCGGCGCAUCGGGCUGGCAGGCCACGCAGCAUCCCUGGCUCUGAGCACCCGCCCCUACAGGUGGGUUCUGGGUCAGGGCCCGACCUUUCACUUGCUGUGUGACCUCUGCAAGGCAGGGAAGACAAGCCUGCCCCACACCCGGCUCGAAGUAGACACAGAAUAAACGGGAGCUGUUACUCUUCUAUUCCCUUAUAGAUUAAACAGGCUAAGAAAAAAAAAAAAA